RNAcentral lists this unclassified non-coding RNA (478 nucleotides) under Hevea brasiliensis (rubber tree). The record is from RNAcentral. Lineage: Eukaryota; Viridiplantae; Streptophyta; Magnoliopsida; Malpighiales; Euphorbiaceae.
UUGAGACCAUUGCUAACUUUUUGCAGGAGGUUGGCUGCAAUCAUGCUCAGAGUGUUGGAUUUUCUACUGAUGGAUUUGCUACAACCCACACAAUGAGGAAGUUGCAUCUCAUAUGGGUAACUGCUCGCAUGCACAUUGAAAUAUACAAGUAUCCAGCCUGGAGUGAUGUAGUUGAAGUAGAAACAUGGUGCCAAAAUGAAGGAAGAAUUGGAACCAGACGUGAUUGGAUUCUGACAGAUUAUGCUACUGGUCAAGUUAUAGGAAGAGCCACAAGCAAGUGGGUGAUGAUGAACCAAGAUACUAGGCGGCUUCAAAAAGUAACUGAUGAUGUCCGAGAUGAGUUAAUGGUUUACUGCCCACGAGAACUCAGAUUAGCAUUUCCAGAGGAUAAUAAUCGCAGCUUAAAGAAGAUUUCAAAGCUAGAAGAUCCUGUUCAAUAUUCCAAACUAGGACUUGUGCCUAGAAGAGCAGAUUUGGA